GACGAACGCUGGCGGCGUGCUUAACACAUGCAAGUCGAACGGAAAGGCCCUGCUUUUGUGGGGUGCUCGAGUGGCGAAAGGGUGAGUAACACGUGAGUAACCUGCCCUUGACUUUGGGAUAACUUCAGGAAACUGGGGCUAAUACCGGAUAUGAGCUCCUGCUGCAUGGUGGGGGUUGGAAAGUUUCGGCGGUUGGGGAUGGACUCGCGGCUUACCAGCUUGUUGGUGGGGUAGUGGCUUACCAAGGCUUUGACGGGUAGCCGGCCUGAGAGGGUGACCGGUGACAUUGGGACUGGGAUACGGCCCAGAAUCCUACGGUGAGCAGCAGUGGGGAAUAUUGCACAAUGGGGGGAAGCCUGAUGCAGCAACGCCGCGUGCUGGAUAACGGCCUUCGUGUUAUAAACCGCUGUCGCCUGUGACGAAGCGUGAGUGACGGUAAUGGGUAAAGAAGCACCGGCUAACUACGUG
This 468-nucleotide ribosomal RNA is filed under the name uncultured bacterium. RNAcentral's name for it is "partial 16S ribosomal RNA". It matches the Rfam family "Bacterial small subunit ribosomal RNA", at positions 28 to 507 of the family's 1533-position model. The record is from RNAcentral.